AAAUUGAAGAGUUUGAUCAUGGCUCAGAUUGAACGCUGGCGGCAGGCCUAACACAUGCAAGUCGAGCGGAAACGAGUUAUCAGAACCUUCGGGGGACGAUAACGGCGUCGAGCGGCGGACGGGUGAGUAAUGCCUAGGAAAUUGCCCUGAUGUGGGGGAUAACCAUUGGAAACGAUGGCUAAUACCGCAUGAUGACCUGACGGGCCAAAGA
This 211-nucleotide ribosomal RNA is filed under the name Vibrio parahaemolyticus. RNAcentral describes it as "partial 16S ribosomal RNA". It matches the Rfam family "Bacterial small subunit ribosomal RNA", at positions 1 to 207 of the family's 1533-position model. Lineage: Bacteria; Pseudomonadati; Pseudomonadota; Gammaproteobacteria; Vibrionales; Vibrionaceae. The record is from RNAcentral.